GGACCGAGGUGUGAUUUCAGGUGUGAGACCCUGAUCACGCUGUGAGUCCAGCGCAUCUUGUUAACUUGAAAUUCUUUAUUAUUUCAAGGAUUUUAAGAUUAUAAAUCAUACGAUAAUACUUCAUGAGAGUCAGAUGAGUAUCCAGCUGAAGGGAGUCUUGGUGCAGGUGAUGCUGCGGCACUUGGAUCCACACACUGCGGGAGAGAGGCUGCAGGCUGACGGAGGAAUCACCGGGCAGUAUGAGCCAGAGACCGGGCAAUCCUGGUGCUCCGAAAGAUGCCUGCUCCUAUUGGACCGGAAGAAAGAGUUCACCUGCGAGGAUCAGCCGGUGACGACACACACUGUCAGGCCUCUCUCUAUGAAGAAGGAAUGUCUGACAGCCAAAUUGCACAACAUGCCACUCAGCGCAGCAGUCAGAGGGAACCUGUGGAUGUGUCCGUACCUGUCUGAGAGAGGAGGUCAAACGUCUGCAGAGGAAUUUAUUAAAACAAUCUCUGAUUACUUUGACUUGACACUUUGCUCGUUCAUUAUUAAUGAGUCCUAAUGGCUGCGGGGAGUAUUGAUCAGUCGCAUCGUCGGCUCUUUUCUUUGCUCGCUUACAUAGUUUCUAACAUGCAUGGUGGGGGAG
Molecule: long non-coding RNA, 628 nt
Organism: Eleginops maclovinus (Patagonian blennie)
Lineage: Eukaryota; Metazoa; Chordata; Actinopteri; Perciformes; Eleginopidae
Exons: 3
Source: RefSeq, a predicted model, not a curated record